This 274-nucleotide ribosomal RNA is filed under the name uncultured bacterium. RNAcentral's name for it is "partial 16S ribosomal RNA". It matches the Rfam family "Bacterial small subunit ribosomal RNA", at positions 523 to 796 of the family's 1533-position model. The record is from RNAcentral.
AUACGGAGGGUCCGAGCGUUAUCCGGAAUCAUUGGGUUUAAAGGGUCCGUAGGCGGACUAUUAAGUCAGAGGUUAAAUCCCACAGCUCAACUGUGGAACUGCCUUUGAUACUGGUAGUCUUGAGUUAUAUGGAAGUAGAUAGAAUGUGUAGUGUAGCGGUGAAAUGCAUAGAUAUUACACAGAAUACCGAUUGCGAAGGCAGUCUACUACGUAUAUACUGACGCUAAGGGACGAAAGCGUGGGGAGCGAACAGGAUUAGAUACCCUGGUAGUCC